AGUAACGCGUGAGGAACCUGCCUCAAAGAGGGGGACAACAGUUGGAAACGACUGCUAAUACCGCAUAAGCCCACGGCUCGGCAUCGAGCAGAGGGAAAAGGAGUAAUCCGCUUUGAGAUGGCCUCGCGUCCGAUUAGCUAGUUGGUGAGGUAAAGGCUCACCAAGGCGACGAUCGGUAGCUGGUCUGAGAGGACGACCAGCCACACUGGGACUGAGACACGGCCCAG
RNAcentral lists this ribosomal RNA (227 nucleotides) under uncultured bacterium. RNAcentral describes it as "partial 16S ribosomal RNA". It matches the Rfam family "Bacterial small subunit ribosomal RNA", at positions 109 to 334 of the family's 1533-position model. The record is from RNAcentral.